This 454-nucleotide ribosomal RNA is filed under the name uncultured Alkalitalea sp. Its description in RNAcentral is "partial 16S ribosomal RNA". It matches the Rfam family "Bacterial small subunit ribosomal RNA", at positions 341 to 792 of the family's 1533-position model. The record is from RNAcentral. Lineage: Bacteria; Pseudomonadati; Bacteroidota; Bacteroidia; Marinilabiliales; Marinilabiliaceae.
ACGGGAGGCAGCAGUGAGGAAUAUUGGUCAAUGGGCGGGAGCCUGAACCAGCCAUGCCGCGUGCAGGAAGACGGCCUUAUGGGUUGUAAACUGCUUUUAUAGUGGAGCAAUAAGCGCUAUGCGUAGCGUGAUGAGAGUACAUUAUGAAUAAGCAUCGGCUAACUCCGUGCCAGCAGCCGCGGUAAUACGGAGGAUGCGAGCGUUAUCCGGAUUUAUUGGGUUUAAAGGGUGCGUAGGCGGACGCGUAAGUCAGUGGUGAAAUAUGCCGGCUCAACCGGCAGGCUGCCAUUGAUACUGCGUGACUGGAGUAUAAACGGCGCAGGCGGAAUAUGUAAUGUAGCGGUGAAAUGCAUAGAUAUUACAUAGAACACCGAUCGCGAAGGCAGCUUGCGAGGAUAAUACUGACGCUGAGGCACGAAGGUGCGGGGAUCAAACAGGAUUAGAUACCCUGGUA